RNAcentral lists this long non-coding RNA (254 nucleotides) under Callithrix jacchus (white-tufted-ear marmoset). RNAcentral's name for it is "lncRNA (ENSCJAG00000053659.2)". Lineage: Eukaryota; Metazoa; Chordata; Mammalia; Primates; Cebidae. The record is from RNAcentral.
AUGAAAACCAGUUUCCAUUGCAGAUUUGUGGAAAGACAAAGAAAUUGGAGGCAAUGGGUGCUUCAGAAAACAAGGCUGUGGAUGAGACUGAAAAGAAGAGGAUUUGAAAGCCUUUUAAAGGUUUCACUCUACCCCCCAGGCUGGAGUACAGUGAGGCCAUCAUGGCUUACUACAGCUCUGACCUCCUGGCUCAGGCACUUGUCUCACCUCAGCCCCAUGUAGCUAGGACUACAGACACGUGCCACCAUGACCAG